RNAcentral lists this ribosomal RNA (421 nucleotides) under uncultured bacterium. RNAcentral's name for it is "bacterial SSU rRNA". It matches the Rfam family "Bacterial small subunit ribosomal RNA", at positions 356 to 774 of the family's 1533-position model. The record is from RNAcentral.
GAGGAAUAUUGGGCAAUGCCCGAAAGGGUGACCCAGCAACGCCGCGUGGAGGAUGAAGGUCGUAAGAUUGUAAACUCCUGUUAGAGGGGAAGAAUAACUAAGUUUGGAGCUUAGUAUGACUGUACCCUCAGAGAAAGCCCCGGCUAACUACGUGCCAGCAGCCGCGGUAAUACGUAGGGGGCAAGCGUUGUCCGGAUUUACUGGGUGUAAAGGGCGCGCAGGCGGAAUGGAAAGUCAGUGGUGAAAUCCUACAGCUUAACUGUAGAACUGCCUUUGAUACUUCCAUUCUUGAGUUCGGGAGAGAGAGACGGAAUUCCAGGUGUAGUGGUGAAAUACGUAGAUAUCUGGAAGAACACCAGUUGCGAAGGCGGUCUCUUGGUCCGAUACUGACGCUGAGGCGCGAAAGCGUGGGGAGCAAACA